CGUAGGAUAAAAAGGCUGCUACUAUAAGUGCAAACCAUUUACUCUAGAUUUUUCUUAUAAUUAUCAUAUCACAUAUCCAGCAAUCUACAUAAUGUAUAGUCAUAUGUAUAUUCAUAAUUGAAACCUUUUGUGCACCAUUUUUGCGCUUUCAUGCCACUGGUUACACAGCUUUACAGAGGGACUUUUAAGUUGAAGUGCUGAAACUCACCCAUGAAGCAAGACAUAGGGGAUCUAGAUAAGGUGAAAACUUGAUCUUCCAAGAUAAUUUAGAUAACUCAGAAGCAGUCUGUGGGGAUUUACUGAUGUAAAAUUUGUUUUGGACUAAAUAUUUCACAUAAUUGGAUUGGUUGGACCUUUUCCCAGUGUAACAAGACUGUCUUUUUGGGAUGUUAUGGAUCAGUGGGUUACUAUGAAGCUUCAAGGGGCAGUGCUCUUGGACCUCAAGGCUAUGCUUGGACAAAGGAAGAAGCUUUGUUAGUGAAAAACUUUCUGCCAAAGUCCUGGAUGAGAUGUGUAAGAAGCCUAACAUUGUUUGGAAAUCGUUACAAGCUCCAUCAUACAGCACUAUACAGCUCUCGCCAGCAGAAUGGUAAAAAAGGCUUGAAAGCUGCGGUGGUGUGUAAGUCUAGACUCUGAACUGAAAGCUGCUGGCUGCUCCUUUUCACACCCCAGACAUAAUGAAGAAAAAAAAAAACAGAAAAACUUCCAAUUAAAAAGAUGCUGAAAUACCUAAUGAUAAAGCUCUAGUAUACUGAAUAGCCUCUUGGUUCCCUCUCAUAAAAAGAAAUAAUCAGAAUGACUUGCCAUGAAAUGAAACUCCUCUGAAUCGUAUCUCCUCAUUUGUGUGAGAUGAAAUGAGUUUGUGGUAAAUCACUGAAAUAAAGUAGUUAUCCAA
Long non-coding RNA from Ictalurus punctatus (channel catfish), 895 nucleotides. RefSeq lists it as uncharacterized. The transcript has 2 exons. The record is from RefSeq and is a predicted model, not a curated record. NCBI's taxonomy places the organism in Eukaryota, Metazoa, Chordata, Actinopteri, Siluriformes, Ictaluridae.